Molecule: non-coding RNA, 121 nt
Organism: Chiloscyllium plagiosum (whitespotted bambooshark)
Lineage: Eukaryota; Metazoa; Chordata; Chondrichthyes; Orectolobiformes; Hemiscylliidae
Source: RefSeq, a predicted model, not a curated record
UAAGGGCAUGAAGGUGUUAACAGAAGGGAUACUUUCCUUAAGAAUUAAGGAGACUAGAGCAUGAUAUAGCUGCCUACUGCAACAUUGGAGUGAAUAUCAAGAAAGAAACUCCAAUGCUGGA